Molecule: ribosomal RNA, 413 nt
Filed under: uncultured Nitrososphaerota archaeon
Lineage: Archaea; Thermoproteati; Nitrososphaerota
Description: uncultured thaumarchaeote partial 16S ribosomal RNA
Rfam family: Archaeal small subunit ribosomal RNA
Source: RNAcentral
GUGCAGCAGGCGCGAAAACUCCGCAAUGGGCGAAAGCCCGACGGGGUUACCCCGAGUGCCACCCUCGUGGUGGCUUUUGCCCGCUGUAAAAAGGCGGGCGAAUAAGGGGAGGGCAAGUCGGGUGUCAGCCGCCGCGGUAAUACCCGCUCCCCGAGUGGUGGAGACUUUUACUGGGCCUAAAGCGCCCGUAGCCGGCCCUGUGUGUCCCUCGUUAAAUCCGCAGGCUUAACCUGCGGGCUGCGGGGGAUACUGCAGGGCUUGGGGGUGGGAGAGGCGCUCGGUAUUCCCGGGGUAGGGGUAAAAUCCUCUGAUCCCGGGAGGACCACCAGUGGCGAAGGCGGAGCGCCAGAACACGCCCGACGGUGAGGGGCGAAAGCUGGGGGAGCAAACGGGAUUAGAUACCCCGGUAGUCC